This 1178-nucleotide long non-coding RNA is filed under the name Pan paniscus (pygmy chimpanzee). Its description in RNAcentral is "lncRNA (ENSPPAG00000044928.1)". The record is from RNAcentral. Lineage: Eukaryota; Metazoa; Chordata; Mammalia; Primates; Hominidae.
GACUGCACGGCAGCGAGGGGAUUGUGGAUCUUAUAUUAAUGUUUUUGUGUCGAGGCAGUGCAUUAGCACUACAGGUGCUUGUUACAUGAGCAAGGGGGUGUCAUAUUUUGAGUGUCAUGUCUGCAUUAGGAAUGCUGCAUUUGUCUUCCCAGGCUGCGGUGUGGAUCUCGCACUGCGGCCGCCUCACCUUGGCUGGGGAGAACCUCGGUGGGCAGGAUUCAGAGGGGCUUUUGGUUUCCCGUUUUCCACACUGAACCCUUCUAACUGGUCUCUGACCCUGAUUAUUCAGGGCUGCAAACAGGAAGGAUUUUAUUCACCGUCGAUGCGGCCCCGAGUUGUCCCAAAGCGAGGCAGUGCCCCCAAGGUCCGUGCUGAGGAGAACGCUGCUCUGCCUUUGCGGUGUCCCCCGGGUCUAUGCUGAGCAGAACGCAGCUCCGCCCUCGCGGUGCCCCCGGCCCGCCCGGGUCUGUGCCAAGGAGAACACUGCUCCGCCUUCGCUGUAUCUCCGAAGUCUGUGCAGAGGAGAACUCAGCUCCGCCCUCGCGAUGCUCUCCGAGUCUGUGCUGAGCACAACGCAGCUCCGCCCUCGCAAAGGCACAGCGCGGGCGCAGGCGCGGGGCGGUGCACAGCGCGGGCGCAGGCGCCGAGAGGCGCACAGGAGACCUCAGGCCCAGGCUCCACUCCCCAGCUGUGAAAGGACUGCUGGCCAGACCCCCAAGCUAGCCCGCCAGGCCUCCAUAGAGCUGCCCAGCAUGGCUGCGUCCAGUACCAAAAGUUGGUGGGAGACGGGUGAGGUACAGGCUCAGUCUGCAGCCAAGACUCCGUCCUGCAAGACUCUUUGGCAGUUGCACUGGGUACUGGCUGAGUUCUGGAAAACAGGAAUGUGAGCAGAGUGCUGCAGAUCUCCUUGUCAGGAGCACCUAAGAGCUGGCAUGACUCUACACCCUCUCUCCUUCUGCAAUGACCUCGUGUCAAGAUGGCAGACCUGCAGAGAUGAAUGUGCCUGGAUACCUGAGUCACCAGGUGGAGGAAACUCCCAUUGACAUGCAUCACACUCCACAUAUGAAACCCUUCUUUUUCUGCACUGUCACUGGGGUUAGGGAUUAUUACUCACUGCAACUUAGCCAAGCAUUAAGUUGCUUGACUAAUACAAGUUUCAAUAAAUGUCGCUUCAUUUC